UGCCCCUAACUUGACUGGAAAGAAGCGGCAGGGUGAAAAAAUAGCUUUGAAGUUGUAAUCUCGGUCUCGAAGAAAAUGGAGUGACGGUACCCGAAGAAGAAGCCCCGGCUAACUACGUGCCAGCAACCGCGGUAAAAGGGUGAGCGGUAACCGGGGG
Molecule: ribosomal RNA, 157 nt
Filed under: uncultured Clostridia bacterium
Lineage: Bacteria; Bacillati; Bacillota; Clostridia
Description: 16S ribosomal RNA
Source: RNAcentral